GACGAACGCUGGCGGCGUGCUUAACACAUGCAAGUCGAACGGUGAAGCGCCUUCCUUUUUGGUGGGUGUGGAUGAGUGGCGAACGGGUGAGUAACACGUGAGUAACCUGCCCCCUUCUUCUGGAUAACCGCAUGAAAGUGUGGCUAAUACGGGAUAUUCUGGGUCUGUCGCAUGAUGGGUCUGGGAAAGAUAUUGUUUCGGUGGGGGAUGGGCUCGCGGCCUAUCAGCUUGUUGGUGGGGUGAUGGCCUACCAAGGCUGUGACGGGUAGCCGGCCUGAGAGGGUGGACGGUCUGACUGGAGAUGAGGCACGGCCAAGCCUGGUACGGGAGACGGCAGUGAGGAAUAUUGCACAAUGGGCGCAAGCCUAAUGCAGCGACGGCGCGUGAGGGAUGGAGGACUUCGGGGUGUGAGCCUCUGUCGCUAGUGAAGCAGGGCUGCCUCGUUUGUGGGUAGAUUGACGGUAGCUGGAUAAGAAGCGCCGGCUAACUACGUG
RNAcentral lists this ribosomal RNA (494 nucleotides) under uncultured bacterium. Its description in RNAcentral is "partial 16S ribosomal RNA". It matches the Rfam family "Bacterial small subunit ribosomal RNA", at positions 28 to 507 of the family's 1533-position model. The record is from RNAcentral.